This 346-nucleotide unclassified non-coding RNA is filed under the name soil metagenome. RNAcentral describes it as "partial contains 5.8S ribosomal RNA, internal transcribed spacer 2, and large subunit ribosomal RNA". The stretch from base 1 to 120 matches the Rfam family "5.8S ribosomal RNA", at positions 35 to 154 of the family's 154-position model. The record is from RNAcentral.
GAUGAAGAACGUAGCGAAAUGCGAUAAGUAAUGUGAAUUGCAGAAUUCAGUGAAUCAUCGAGUCUUUGAACGCACAUUGCGCCCCCUGGUAUUCCGGGGGGCAUGCCUGUCCGAGCGUCAUUGCUGCCCUCAAGCACGGCUUGUGUGUUGGGCUUCCGUCCCUGGCAACGGGGACGGGCCCAAAAGGCAGUGGCGGCACCAUGUCUGGUCCUCGAGCGUAUGGGGCUUUGUCACCCGCUCCCGUAGGUCCAGCUGGCAGCUAGCCUCGCAACCAAUCUUUUUAACCAGGUUGACCUCGGAUCAGGUAGGGAUACCCGCUGAACUUAAGCAUAUCAAUAGCGGAGGA